UUCCGGUUGAUCCCGCCGGACCUGACUGCUAUCGGAUUGAUACUAAGCCAUGCGAGUCAUUGUAGCAAUACAAGGCAGACGGCUCAGUAACGCGUAGUCAAUCUACCCUAUGGACGGGAAUAACCUCGGGAAACUGAGAAUAAUGCCCGAUAGAACAUUAUGCCUGGAAUGGUUUAUGUUUCAAAUGAUUUAUCGCCAUAGGAUGGGACUGCGGCCUAUCAGUUUGUUGGUGAGGUAAUGGCCCACCAAGACUAUUACAGGUACGGGCUCUGAGAGGAGUAGCCCGGAGAUGGGUACUGAGACACGGACCCAGGCCCUAUGGGGCGCAGCAGGCGAGAAAACUUUGCAAUGUGCGAAAGCACGACAAGGUUAAUCCGAGUGGUUUCUGCUAAAGAAACCUUUUGUCAGUACUAGAAACACUAACGAAUAAGGGGUGGGCAAGUUCUGGUGUCAGCCGCCGCGGUAAAACCAGCACCUCAAGUGGUCAGGAUGAUUAUUGGGCCUAAAGCAUCCGUAGCUCGUUUUGUAAGUUUUCGGUUAAAUCCAUGCGCUUAACGUAUGGGCUGCCGGGAAUACUGCAUAACUAGGAAGUGGGAGAGGUAGACGGUACUCGGGAGGAAGGGGUAAAAUCCUUUGAUCUCUUGAUGACCACCUGUGGCGAAGGCGGUCUACCAGAACACGUUCGACGGUGAGGGAUGAAAGCUGGGGGAGCAAACCGGAUUAGAUACCCGGGUAGUCCCAGCUGUAAACUAUGCAAACUCAGUGAUGCAUUGGCUUAUGGCCAAUGCAGUGCUGCAGGGAAGCCGUUAAGUUUGCCGCCUGGGAAGUACGUACGCAAGUAUGAA
RNAcentral lists this ribosomal RNA (845 nucleotides) under uncultured archaeon. Its description in RNAcentral is "bacterial SSU rRNA". It matches the Rfam family "Archaeal small subunit ribosomal RNA", at positions 1 to 853 of the family's 1478-position model. The record is from RNAcentral.